AACGAACGUUAGCGGCGCGCCUAACACAUGCAAGUCGAACGCGACAGGGGCAACUCUGUUGAGUGGCGCACGGGUGAGUAACACGUAGGUAAUCUCCCCCCGAGUGGUGGAUAACCUUCCGAAAGGAGGGCUAAUACAGCACAAGACCACGGCUUCGAAAGGAGCUGAGGUCAAAGCGGAGGAUCGCAAGACUUCGCGCUUGGGGAUGAGCCUGCGGCCCAUCCGGUAGUUGGCGGGGUAACAGCCCACCAAGCCUAAGACGGGUAGCUGGUCGGAGAGGAUGAUCAGCCACACUGGAACUGGGACGCGGUCCGGACUCCUACGGGAGGCAGCAGUGGGGAAUCUUGCGCAAUGGACGAAAGUCUGACGCAGCGACGCCGCGUGGGUGAUGAAGGCCUUCGGGUUGUAAAGCCCUGUGGGGAGGGACGAAUAAGUUUCAGCUAAUACCUGAAGCGAUGACGGUACCUCCUUAGCAAGCACCGGCUAACUCUGUGCCAGCCGCCGCGGUAA
This 510-nucleotide ribosomal RNA is filed under the name uncultured bacterium. RNAcentral describes it as "partial 16S ribosomal RNA". It matches the Rfam family "Bacterial small subunit ribosomal RNA", at positions 29 to 523 of the family's 1533-position model. The record is from RNAcentral.